UACGGAGGGGGCUAGCGUUGUUCGGAAUGACUGGGCGUAAAGCGCGCGUAGGCGGAUCAUCAAGUCGGGGGUGAAAUCCCGGGGCUCAACCCCGGAACGGCCUUCGAGACUGGUGGUCUUGAGUUCGAGAGAGGUGGGUGGAAUUCCGAGUGUAGAGGUGAAAUGCGUAGAUAUUGGGAGGAACACCAGUGGCGAAGGCGGCUACCUGGACCGGUUCUGACGCUGAGGCGCGAAAGCGUGGGUAGCAAACAGG
Molecule: ribosomal RNA, 253 nt
Filed under: uncultured bacterium
Lineage: Bacteria
Description: partial 16S ribosomal RNA
Rfam family: Bacterial small subunit ribosomal RNA
Source: RNAcentral